Molecule: ribosomal RNA, 395 nt
Filed under: uncultured bacterium
Lineage: Bacteria
Description: bacterial SSU rRNA
Rfam family: Bacterial small subunit ribosomal RNA
Source: RNAcentral
GUGUCAGCCGCCGCGGUAAAACGUAGGAGCCAAGCGUUAUCCGAAUUCACUGGGCGUAAAGCGUGUGCAGGCGGUGCGAUAAGUUGGAUGUGAAAUCUCCUGGCUCAACUGGGAGAGGCCGUUCAAUACUGUCGGACUAGAGGGCAACAGAGGGAGGUGGAAUUCCCGGUGUAGUGGUGAAAUGCGUAGAUAUCGGGAGGAACACCAGUGGCGAAAGCGGCCUCCUGGGUUGUACCUGACGCUCAGACACGAAAGCUAGGGGAGCGAACGGGAUUAGAAACCCCGGUAGUCCUAGCCGUAAACGAUGUAGACUGGGUGUUGGAGGGGUAAAAGCCUUCGGUGCCGAAGCUAACGCGAUAAGUCUACCGCCUGGGGACUACGGCCGCAAGGUUAAA